UAUGGCUCAGGAUGAACGCUGGCGGCGUGCCUAACACAUGCAAGUCGAACGGACCUUAUAUGACAGAGACUUCGGUCGACGAAGUUUAAGGUAGUGGCGGACGGGUGAGUAACGCGUGGAGAACCUGCCCUGUACUGGGGGAUAACAGUGAGAAAUUACUGCUAAUACCGCAUAAGCGCACGGGACCGCAUGGUCCUGAGUGAAAAACUCCGGUGGUACAGGAUGGCUCCGCGUUGGAUUAGCCAGUUGGCGGGUAACGGCCCACCAAAGCGACGAUCCAUAGCCGGCCUGAGAGGGUGAACGGCCACAUUGGGACUGAGACACGGCCCAGACUCCUACGGGAGGCAGCAGUGGGGAAUAUUGCACAAUGGGGGGAACCCUGAUGCAGCGACGCCGCGUGAAGGAAGAAGUAUCUCGGUAUGUAAACUUCUAUCAGCAGGGAAGAAAAUGACGGUACCUGACUAAGAAGCCCCGGCUAACUACGUGCCAGCCGCUGC
Molecule: ribosomal RNA, 497 nt
Filed under: uncultured bacterium
Lineage: Bacteria
Description: bacterial SSU rRNA
Rfam family: Bacterial small subunit ribosomal RNA
Source: RNAcentral